ACCUGCCUCUACAGCUUCUUGAAACCAGCCAUCCUGGAGCUUGGCACCAAGCUGCUUAUUUCAGAGGGAAGAGCUGAGCGAACUGAAGCCAUGAUUACUGAACAUUUGGGUCUGGACUGCAUAGAUUCUGUUUGACUGAAAAUACUGCCAGACAAGGUCAUCUUUCCAAGACUGAUGAGACAACUCUGAACAUGAUCAAAGUGCUAUGAGAUGUGAUCAUUAAAAUGACUAUAAAAUUAUAGGUAAGUUGAGACUUGAAUAUUCUCUUGCUUGUUUAGCUUCUAAAUGUGGCAA
Long non-coding RNA from Nothoprocta perdicaria, 294 nucleotides. RefSeq lists it as uncharacterized. The transcript has 3 exons. Lineage: Eukaryota; Metazoa; Chordata; Aves; Tinamiformes; Tinamidae. The record is from RefSeq and is a predicted model, not a curated record.